Molecule: ribosomal RNA, 257 nt
Filed under: uncultured bacterium
Lineage: Bacteria
Description: partial 16S ribosomal RNA
Rfam family: Bacterial small subunit ribosomal RNA
Source: RNAcentral
UACGUAGGGGGCAAGCGUUGUCCGGAUUUAUUGGGCGUAAAGAGCGUGUAGGCGGCCAUGCAGGUCAGCUGUGAAAAACUCGAGGCUCAACCUCGAGACGUCGGUUGAAACCGUAUGGCUAGAGUCCGGAAGAGGAGAGUGGAAUUCCCGGUGUAGCGGUGAAAUGCGCAGAUAUCGGGAAGAACACCUAUGGCGAAGGCAGCUCUCUGGGACGGUACUGACGCUGAGACGGCGAAAAGCGUGGGGGAGCAAACAGG